UAAAGCUAUGUGGAUGCAUCUCAUUAUGUCUCGAACUAGUCCUGAGCUUCCCCUCAACAUAGGGUCUAUCAAAUUUCCAGGCGUUCCUUCGCGGGUUCGUCCAAGCCUGUCACAUUUUAAUUCUGAGUUUAAGCUCUACAUAUUGAUUAUGUAAAAGAAUUCAAUGUGUGAAGAUGGUCCCAACUAGUUUGGCAUUGAGGUAUAGUUGCUUAAUUAAAUUAUGUUACUUACAUGGCUCAGAAGGUCUUCCAUAGAUUCUCCAUUUUUGAAACAAGUGUUUCUUUGGCCACUUAAAAUUUCUAGGACUAAUACUCCAAAGCUAAAAACAUCUGACUUGACUGAAAAUUGUCCGUGCAUUGCAUAUUCUGGCGCCAUAUAUCCAC
Long non-coding RNA from Lycium ferocissimum, 383 nucleotides. RefSeq lists it as uncharacterized. NCBI's taxonomy places the organism in Eukaryota, Viridiplantae, Streptophyta, Magnoliopsida, Solanales, Solanaceae. The record is from RefSeq and is a predicted model, not a curated record. The transcript is spliced from 2 exons.